UGGGGAAUUUUGCACAAUGGAGGAAACUCUGAUGCAGCGACGCCGCGUGAGUGAUGAAGAUCUUCGGAUUGUAAAACUCUGUCCUUAGUGAAGAUAAUGACAGUAACUAAGAAGCAAGCCCUGGCUAAAUACGUGCCAGCAGCCGCGGUAAUACGUAUGGGGCAAGCGUUGUCCGGAAUUAUUGGGCGUAAAGGGUACGUAGGCGGUUUAAUAAGUCCUAAUUAAAAGGCUAUGGCUCAACCAUAGUAUGGUUAGGAAACUGUUGAACUUGAGUAGAUGAGAGGAAAGUGGAAUUCCAUGUGUAGCGGUGAAAUGCGUAGAUAUAUGGAGGAACACCAAUGGCGAAGGCAACUUUCUGGAAUCAAACUGACGCUGAGGUACGAAGGCGUGGGGAGCAAACAGG
This 403-nucleotide ribosomal RNA is filed under the name Fusobacteriota bacterium. RNAcentral's name for it is "Fusobacteria bacterium partial 16S ribosomal RNA". It matches the Rfam family "Bacterial small subunit ribosomal RNA", at positions 355 to 776 of the family's 1533-position model. Lineage: Bacteria; Fusobacteriati; Fusobacteriota. The record is from RNAcentral.